Molecule: ribosomal RNA, 483 nt
Filed under: uncultured bacterium
Lineage: Bacteria
Description: partial 16S ribosomal RNA
Rfam family: Bacterial small subunit ribosomal RNA
Source: RNAcentral
GACGAACGCUGGCGGCGUGCUUAACACAUGCAAGUCGAACGAUGAAGCCGGAGCUUGCUCCGGUGGAUUAGUGGCGAACGGGUGAGUAACACGUGAGCAAUCUGCCCUUGACUCUGGGAUAACUGCGGGAAACUGUAGCUAAUACCGGAUACGACACCUUGGGGCAUCCCAGGGUGUGGAAAGAAUUUCGGUCAAGGAUGAGCUCGCGGCCUAUCAGCUAGUUGGUGAGGUAAUGGCUCACCAAGGCGACGACGGGUAGCCGGCCUGCGAGGGUGACCGGCCACACUGGAACUGAGACACGGUCCAGACGCCUACGGGAGGCAGCAGUGGGGAAUAUUGCACAAUGGGCGAAAGCCUGAUGCAGCAACGCCGCGUGAGGGAUGAAGGCCUUCGGGUUGUAAACCUCUUUUAGCAGGGAAGAAGCGAAAGUGACGGUACCUGCAGAAAAAGCACCGGCUAACUACGUGCCAGCCGCCGCAGUAA